Molecule: transfer RNA, 74 nt
Filed under: Lacrimispora sphenoides
Lineage: Bacteria; Bacillati; Bacillota; Clostridia; Lachnospirales; Lachnospiraceae
Also listed under: 5 other names
Description: [Clostridium] sphenoides tRNA-Ala(ggc)
Rfam family: tRNA
About the family: Transfer RNA (tRNA) molecules are approximately 80 nucleotides in length.
Source: RNAcentral
GGGGGUAUAGCUCAGCUGGGAGAGCGCUUGAAUGGCAUUCAAGAGGUCAUGGGUUCGAAUCCCACUAUCUCCAC